UAGAUUUUACAGAAUGUUAUUUUCGAACUGUGCACUAUGAGACGCAGCUAACAUGGUGGUUUGCUGCUGCUACAUUACAAUUUCACUGAAUCCAUAUGAAAUCGCAAUAUUUAAUACUAUUAUAAACACGACAGCUGCACUUAAACACUGCUGGCUCUCUUUGGCAAUAUUGCCGGUUUCCAUUUUAGACCAGAUCAUGGUGAAGCGAUUAAAAGUUGUUCGUAACGGAAGGAUGUACGGGGAGCAUGACAUGGCUGUACGAAGGAAAAGUGGUCCCAACAGUUUACUAUGGGACGACGUGUGCCCAGCGGAUUAUUAAUUAUUAUUAAUACCUCACUUGCUCUGCAUAUUUCUGUUUCAAACAUUUUGCCACUUAUUGAAGGACCUUACUAGUAUCAUUCUUACUAGCUAAUCUUUUAAACAGUUUUGUCUUUCUACAUACAAAGGUGAGUCGAAAUUUUGUAAUUUUCUUUUCUGUGAUCUUUUACUUUUAUUGAAGUUACUUCAAAGUCUAUUUAUUACCAAGAAGCGAAAUAUUAACAUCGGUGGACAUUCUUAAUAUAAUGAAAAUUUAGAAUGGCUAAUUAGUGUUCUCUGGGUUCGAACUGUAAAUAUAUGUGACCGUUUGACAUACUUAACGUAAAGGCGUGUACAUGUUUAUAUUGUUCUGUAACUCUGAACAGUUUUUAAAAAUCAGCUAUUUCUUCCUCUAACCCGUAAUCAUACUAUCAGUCUCUUACUGUGCUACAGAUAAGAUAUUUCAUUUUCCGAAAGAGCAUCACGCCACUUCAGUACACAUUCCAAAUCUGGUACUGAAACUAUCUGCAGUUGUCGAGUUGUUGACAUAGACAUUUAUUCGUAACUGUUUUCGAACAAUUCCUCUUUUAGGACCUUUAUUCUCCUUUUCAUACAGUCUAUUUAUGAUCAUACUACGGAUCAUGCUUAUAAAGUAACUUCGUUAACCUCUCCAGUACUGUUACCGUGAUUGUAUUUUCGUUUACAUCCAUUCAAUUCACAAUUUGUAUUAUACUCAUCUUAUCAAUGCACCCACCUUUAUGUGUUACUAAUUUCGUAAACCUAAACCUCAUUAACUUUAAUUUAAUAUUACUUAGUAUUUUAUCCCUUUAUCAUUAACUUGUUUUUGCUAACUGAAACGAUAUGCUUAAUCCAUUCUGUCAAAGUUUUACCGUUUCUUUUUUCCUUUCAAGCCGAGCGCUUGAUUAUAAAACUAAUAAACGAAAAAGUAUUUUUAUUUUGUAACUUCUGUCUUCGCAAAUUUUUCAAAAAUUUUGUGCGAUUAGUAAGUUACAAGUCGUUGAUAUAUUUUCUUGAAGCCUACCAGGCCGAUGUUUUCAUGUGUAAUGAAGUUAGGUAUUCAAAACAAAGUAGCAGUUAUUAAUUAAUACGCUGUUUUGUAAUGUAAUGCAUGCCUGCAUUAGAUCAACACUGCUCUUAAUUCGAAUUACCAUUGUUGAUUUUCAAGCUUGUUCUUAUGUACGAAUAAUCAUGAUGGAAUAUAUUUUCAUUCAAUAUGAAAUAAAUCUCCCCUCCCUCCAUC
RNAcentral lists this long non-coding RNA (1558 nucleotides) under Octopus vulgaris (common octopus). Lineage: Eukaryota; Metazoa; Mollusca; Cephalopoda; Octopoda; Octopodidae. The record is from RNAcentral.